Molecule: ribosomal RNA, 258 nt
Filed under: uncultured bacterium
Lineage: Bacteria
Description: partial 16S ribosomal RNA
Rfam family: Bacterial small subunit ribosomal RNA
Source: RNAcentral
CUUGCUUUCUUUGCUGGCGACCGGCGCACGGGUAAGUAACACGUAUCCAACCUGCCCUUUACUCGGGGAUAGCCUUUCGAAAGAAAGAUUAAUACCCGAUAGCAUAAUGAUUCCGCAUGGUUUCAUUAUUAAAGGAUUCCGGUAAAGGAUGGGGAUGCGUUCCAUUAGGUUGUUGGUGGGGUAACGGCCCACCUAGUCUUCGAUGGAUAGGGGUUCUGAGAGGAAGGUCCCCCACAUUGGAACUGAGACACGGUCCAA